UUUCUUUUUAUAAUAAAAAUAUUUUAGUAAAGUGUUAAAAAAUAUGCUUUUUUUCUUUCUUUUUCCAAAUUUUCACACAAGAAGAAAAGAGUAUUUUUUCUUCCUAAAACUUUCAAACAAAAGCAAGGGAAAGCCGUUUCUAUUCCUCUUUUUUUUCCCCCCCUCAUUAUUUUUUUUUCCUUUUCUUUCCAAAUGGAGUCUCGAUGGCUCCAAUCGGCGAUGUCUUGGAAUUAAUCCUUCGAGCUCGACAUUUCAUCGAACAUUUGGGCCCGAUCACUUUGACAAAGGAUGUCAUCGCGCUCCAACGGUGAGACGUGGACUGUCCGUCCUCACUCUGGGGCGCAAGCACCAAUCACCAUAACACACGUAUCAUUGACUUGACAGCUGGAUAAUCUCUUAUAUUGCCAUGUUUAUGAAAGAAAAAAAACUUGUACAAACUCUCGUAAAUCUAACCGAGCUAAACUCUCGUACAUCUCCCCCUCCUGAAGACAUCCACUGGAAAAACAAAAAUUUAAUUAAAAAAAAAACUAGACGGAACUCAACAAUUCAGGCUGAUGGAUUCAAUAACGAAAAAAAUGUCCAUUUCAGAACAAACUACAUGUGGAUGGCAGAAGCUGACCAUGCUCGAUUAUUUUAACAAAUCUAUUGGCAAGACAUUCGACUGCCAUUUUGGAAGCCUCAGAAAUCCAUCUGCAAAUACUGCAUUCCACUGUCUCUGUGUCAUUUGUGCUUAGGCCGCUGCUUGAGCUUCUGCAGUAAAAGGUAUUGGCUUGGUUGGGGCAGGUAGGCGACCGAUGCUAUCAACCUUAUCUCGCUGCUUUGGUGGGGGCCUGGCAGCUCUUGGUAAGAGGCGUCCCUUCUUGGCAAACCACUCAGGCUUGAGCAGUGCCUGGAA
This 895-nucleotide long non-coding RNA is filed under the name Phoenix dactylifera (date palm). Its description in RNAcentral is "long non-coding RNA (PDAC_LNC014961)". Lineage: Eukaryota; Viridiplantae; Streptophyta; Magnoliopsida; Arecales; Arecaceae. The record is from RNAcentral.